ACGGGAGGCAGCAGUGGGGGAUAUUGCACAAUGGGGGAAACCCUGAUGCAGCGACGCCGCGUGGAGGAAGAAGGUUUUCGGAUCGUAAACUCCUGUCGUUAGGGACGAUAAUGACGGUACCUAACAAGAAAGCACCGGCUAACUACGUGCCAGCAGCCGCGGUAAAACGUAGGGUGCAAGCGUUGUCCGGAAUUACUGGGUGUAAAGGGAGCGCAGGCGGACCGGCAAGUUGGAAGUGAAAACUAUGGGCUCAACCCAUAAAUUGCUUUCAAAACUGCUGGCCUUGAGUAGUGCAGAGGUAGGUGGAAUUCCCGGUGUAGCGGUGGAAUGCGUAGAUAUCGGGAGGAACACCAGUGGCGAAGGCGACCUACUGGGCACCAACUGACGCUGAGGCUCGAAAGCAUGGGUAGCAAACAGGAUUAGAUACCCUGGUAGUCCAUGCCGUAAACGAUGAUUACUAGGUGUUGGAGGAUUGACCCCUUCAGUGCC
RNAcentral lists this ribosomal RNA (489 nucleotides) under uncultured bacterium. RNAcentral describes it as "bacterial SSU rRNA". It matches the Rfam family "Bacterial small subunit ribosomal RNA", at positions 341 to 847 of the family's 1533-position model. The record is from RNAcentral.